This 243-nucleotide unclassified non-coding RNA is filed under the name Hevea brasiliensis (rubber tree). Lineage: Eukaryota; Viridiplantae; Streptophyta; Magnoliopsida; Malpighiales; Euphorbiaceae. The record is from RNAcentral.
CAUGCACAAAUUUUUAUCCCAGAAAUGAAUAUGCAGCAAGUCUUUGGUGCUGCGACUUGCACUUUCUAUCUGCAAUUAUAUCGAAAUGGCUAAGGUCUUACCCGAAUUGUUAACCAUAUUGAAAAAGCUUGACAAGCUAAUUAUGGCUCUAUGUUGACUUUAAUGUGGGAUUGGGGUCACAAAUCAUAAUACCAACUUGGCAUGUUAACACUGGGAAUGCGUCAAUCCAAAAGGAUUUGUGGG